Long non-coding RNA from Cebus imitator (Panamanian white-faced capuchin), 436 nucleotides. RefSeq lists it as uncharacterized. The record is from RefSeq and is a predicted model, not a curated record. Lineage: Eukaryota; Metazoa; Chordata; Mammalia; Primates; Cebidae. The transcript is spliced from 2 exons.
CCUACAGGGAGCUUGCCCAACUCCAGGGCACUCUGAGUGUGCUCUCCAUACAAAGUGCUGUAUGACCUCGGGGAGUGAGGAACUUGAAAAAAAUGCACACACCUAGCAGUGGAGCUGCAGGGUUACAGGGCGGGCAUAACCUGAGCCUUAGAGGAUCCUGCAAGACGGUUCUGCAGAGUGGUCAAGCCAAUUGAUAUCCCCACCAGCAUUUUAACCUCAAAUAUCUUCCCUGGCUGCCCCAAAACCUGGGCACCAGGACCAAAUGAGGCAAAGCCUCAUGGAUUCCUGGCAUAUUGUGACAGUAGCCUUCAAAGGAAAAGGGUUGCCAGGGUGAUCACACCCAGAGGAAAAACUAAUGUCUGAAAAUAGAAACCACAGUCUUCCAAAUGCAAAGAAAAAGGUUUCAUUUCAAAAUAAAAAUUGUCCCAGUGAAUUA